UACAUUUGUUUAAAACACAUUGUGCAAGGAAGCUUUCAGUGACCUCAAGCAUUAAGUGGCAAACUGUGGUGAACAUAAACAGCAAGUCAAGCAGAACAUUUUCACGCCGACAACAAACUUGUGAUUUCCCACCUAACCUAACCUAGUUUACGUCACACCAAAACUCAUGUUCAGCCUUUAGCAAGUGUUAUUGUUAAAAUGACCCUCAUUUCAAACCUCUUAAUUUUCCCAUCUAACAAAAAAUGAGAAUUUUCUGCUCAGUUUAUACUCAUGUUUGUGAAGUCAUACAGUUGAAAUGUGUGAUAACCAGACCAAAAUUAAUGAACCAGAUCAGUCAAAUUUGUAAAAGAAUUAUUCAAUAUGAUUUGUGUACCAGUUAAAACUGGUUCAAUACAUUAAAAAAAAAAAUUAAAUAUGAAUGUAAAUGUGAAUAAAAGGUUCUAAAGUAACGCUUUACAAUAAGGUUUCAUUUGUUAACAUUUGUUUACUACAUUUGUCAACAUAAACUAACAAUGAACAACACUUCUACAGCAUUUAAUGUUAAUCUCAACAUUUACUGAUACAUUUUUUCAGAUAUGAAUGUAAAUGUAAUGUUAACCAGACAGCGGAGGUGUAACUUUCAUUUGUGUGAUGAAGGAAACGCACGUGGUAAAAAUCAUUUCUGCCGGUGAUCUCAUUAUACUCGCACAUCAACAGCAAUGAUCCUGUUUGUUUUGAUCUGCAUGAUCUUCAUCAUCUCAGGUAAGUCAUUUUUCUUGCAUCUAACGGACAGUUUUAGUUAGUGUUUGAACCUGAAUGACUAAGAUGCAACUUUGUCUGCUAAUUUUAAGAUUUAGGCAGCUUUUGCUUGAAUGAACUGUCUUCAUCUCAUCACUUUAGGUGCACAAGAUGUUCGUACCGUCAGUGAAGUGUCUGUCCAAGAAGGAAAAUCUAUCAUCAUCCCUUGCUGGUAUAAUCAUAUUUAUGUAAAUAAUGUUAAAUAUCUGAGUGCUGGAGAUCACUGGGCCUUUAGUAGGUAUGUUGAGUUCUCAGAUGGGAGAAACAAACACAAGACAGUCUCCAUUUCAGAUAACAGAAACGCUAACGUUCUGACUAUUGACAUGAGGAAUAUUCAGCAGAGACAGAGCGGCACGUACUGGUGUGCGAUUGAUGUACCUAGAUCUCCUGUUAGAAAUAGCUUCAACUUAAAGGUCACAGCAGGUGAAAUUGACCAGACCUUUUUUAAUAAUUUUAAAUGACUUUUCCAACAUCAAUGGAAAUAGUCAUAUCUGCUUGCUCUUUCUUUGUCAUUUUAGCUAUCUCUGGUCUGUACGUUGGAGAUCAGAUGUUGACUGGUUUUGAAGCCGGUAGUCUUACCGUCUCCUGCCAUUAUCAUUUGCCAAGAAAAACUGGCAUAAAAUGGUGUAAGCUUGGAGGAAAGUGUGUGGAAGAAGCAUGUGGGACUUUGGACGGGGCGUCUGUGGAGAUCAGGCAUGAUCAUGGGUUAGUGAUUGUGAGCAUGAGUGGAUUGAAGAUGGAGAACACAGGAUGGUACUGGUGCUCAGUGAUGGAACUACAAAUGCCUGUUCACAUCACUGUAUCUGCGAGAAUAGAAACCACCACUACACUCGAGACGACCUCGAACCAGCCCGUGUCGACCGGCUCUGUGAAAUCCACAGGAACCUUCACAUCUGCUCAGACUCCACAUUCCAGUGACAGAAGUCCAUUAUUAUGUCUGAUCAUGUUGGUGAUUGUGAUUUUGAGCUGUUGUGCAGUGACUGUGAUCAUGCUGUGCAAAAUCAGUCAGUUAUCUCCGAACCAAGAAGAAAAUGGAACAUCAUAACAAAUUAAGCCCCUGUUUCGGAACAAAGCAAAAAAGUUUUUGUCUACUGGAAGUUUUUGGAAAGAUGUUUGUCAGCUGGUGUUGUUUAACAGUACAAAUCCUGAAAUACUGAUGGAAUAAAGAGACUUUACAAUAUGGUUUAUUUGUUAACAUUAGUUAACUAUUUUUGUUUAUGAACUAACAACGAACAAUACUUCUACAGCAUUUAUUAAUCUUAGUUAAUGUUAAUUUCAACAUUUAAUACAUUAUUACAAUCAAAAAUGGUAUCUGUUCAUAUUUAACGGACUUGAGCUUACAUGAACUAACAACAGCUCAGCUGUAUAUCAUGUGAAUGUGUUGUUUAAAAUUGUUUAAAGUGUUUCUUGAGUUUUUUUUUUUUUUUUUUCACCUGUUCUGGUGGCUGUGUGAUGUAUGCCAAAUUUAGAUCUUGACAAACAGACCAUAUGUGGGUUAAGUGUACUAAGGUGGCAUUGCCAAAACAGGAAGUGAUUGUUAGAUGUCGAGAAAAUGCCACCACAGUGUGACCAAUAGACAGAGGCUGGACCUUUUAUACAAAACCAAGACAACACUGUGUAUAAAAUACAACAAUGAUGUACUUGACAUUUAGCUGGAAGUAAAGUACUCAUCAGAAGCAAUUUAAAGCAGCUGAAUUACAGGCUCGAGUCACCUGAGGUUAAGUGCUGUAGUUGCAUUCAUGCACAAUGGUGUAUCACAGUUUCUUGGUCAUGUCUUAUGGGAGAAGAUUUUGAGUUAGUUAUGAAAGAAGAAAAUGUAAGAAUUAUGAGCAAUUCUGUGUGAAACCUGUAUUUGAAUUUGACUGGUUCCUCACAUAUUCUGAUGUAUCAAGAUUAGUCCAUUAAAGUCACCAUUAAAUCAAUUUUGGAAUAUUGCAGUGUUUAUUCUAAAUGAUUUAUCAAUGCACAUCAUCAUUAUUGUGUUAAAUUCAUGUUCCUCGUGAUCUUGAAUCAGAAUAACUUUCCCUCCCUCUUGCAGUGACUUCUCUUCUCUGAUGAUGAGGGCGGGGCAACCUGUCAUUCAAAUGAGAUCCACCAAUAGCAAACCACAACCAUCCAAUCAAUUCCCCACAGACAAAACCAAGCCCCGCCCUACAUUUGUUCUUGUUCCAGAAGCCGUUUCACCUGAAUAUAUGUCACAAUAGAGAAGAAAAGACAAGCGCAACUUCCCUUUCAUGACUUUAAACGCCUGUAACGUAGGUUUUGUUUUAGUUUUUACUGUUUCCUGUUCUGGUUUGCCUGUGUUCAUUGUUCACUUUGCUUAUUAGUUUCCAUGGUUAUUAAUUAGUUUCACACUUUCUGUUUCCUGAUAAUUUACUCUCCCCCAUGUCAUCCAUGAUGUUUAUGUCUUUCUUUCUUCAGUCAAAAAGAAACAAAAGUUUUUUUAAGAGAAAACAUUCCAGGAUUUUUCUCCAUAUAGUGGAAAAAAAUAAACUUAGAGAGCAGGCUUAACCUGUUCUUUAAUAUUUGAAUAAAUCCGUUUUAUGACAGCCACCAUUUAAAUAUUUAUAUUAAAACAAGUAGAAACAUAAUUAUGUAAUUAAAAAUGUAUUGUUAUUAUAAAAACUACCUUAUGUGUAAUUUAAAUAUAAGUAGCCUACAAAUGAGGUAAUUUUAACCUUUAAUAUUAUAAUGUACCAACUGGGGUUCCCAUAGUUUACUGCAUUAGUUGAGAGAUAUUUUUUCUUUGAGGAAAUUUGCCAUGUACUGUACCUGAUAGGCCCCAAAUUAAUCAAUAUCAAAUUAAAUUGAAUCGAAAUCGAAUUGAAUAGUGAAAUCUGUGUCAAUGCCCAGCCCUAGUGUCAAUAAAUGUUGUUUUAUUUUCUAUAAAAUUUUUAUACAUUUUUUUUUAUUUAAAAAAAAAAAAAAAAAAAAUCCUACAAGGAUUUAAUUGGAAACACGUCACCUUUUUCACUACUUGUGAGUUUGCAGGUCAGAGUGUUGUAGCUAAGUGUUUCAACGUUAAAGUGUUUCAACAUUUUAUCUGCAACAGAUCUAUAUAAUUAAAAAACACAAUUAUCUCAGCUUUGAUCAGAUCUGCAGCAGGAUACUCUCAUAGAUGCAGCUGUUAUAAACACUAGCAGAGGUUACUGUGGUAAAGGAAGGAGAUACAGAAACAGCUCAUGCAAAUUAUGUUAAAUACAAGCAUUUUGUCUUACAUUAUAUUUUUUCUCCAUUUAACUUAGCAAUCAGUGAUAAAAUAUAAACUAUUAUUAUGUGCUUUGUGAGGAGAAUGUGUUAAAACGAUGUCAAGUGCAUGAUAUGUUUGCAUACAGAGUACAGACUGCAGUGCAUUAGCGCUCACAAGUGCUGUGCCCUCUCUAGGGUGAAAUAAACACAGUCCUGCCCUCAUUCUCAUUCUCACUCUGCCAGCAAGAUGAUGGUGACUGUACUAGUCAUGUUCCUCAUCACACACUCUUCAGGUAUGACAAAAACUCAAUUACGCUGUCUGUCUGUGAUUUUGGGAAUGUGUUGAAGCUGAUAUAGUGUGUGUAAUAACAAGCUAUUGAGCACAAUUAUCCUAUAAUUUAGCUGUUGUGAAACAAAAAUAUUUUUCAUAUUCCUCACCAUUAACUUUGCCAAGAACGAUUCACUGGCACAGAUGGCGUCUACAGUCUGUAUUAUCGAGUAACAUUACAUGCUGUAGUAUAACAUGGAUGGAAAUAUGCAUCCUGAGAUGAGCUCCUGCAUACUGUAACAAGGCUUUGUAAGCCUAACUUUUGCUGACAUUUAAUGGUACCCUUCAGCUUUAAUAAAAUCUUUAGUGGAAAUAUUCAUUUCAUUAUUACUAUUUUUUUUUCUUUCCGCAGGAACUCAAGACAUUCAUACAGUCAGAAAAAUAUCUGUUCAAAAAAAUCAAACUAUCAUAAUCCCUUGUUUAUAUGAUCAGAAAUAUGUCAAUAACUCAAAAUAUGUGAGUUCUGGAGGUUCUUGGUACUUCAGUAGUCCUGUAACACACGGCAGAAUGUCUGUUGUGGAUAACCAAACAGAAAAGGUUUUUACGGCAGCGCUGAGUAACGCUGAAGUGAGUGACACUGGCACAUACUGGUGUGGGAUCAGAGUAUCUGGAUCUGAUCCUGCUGCAAAAUUUUACUUGGAGGUUUUAAAAGGUAUCAUUUAUUUUGUGUAGCAUUCUAAACCAAUCCAGCUGUUUCUGAUGGAAGCUAUUUUCCGGCCACAGAAUAAUAAUAAAAAAAAAAAGUAAUUGUAACUUUUUAUUUCGCAAUUCUUUUUUUCUUGCAGUUCUGAGUUUAUAUCUUGCAAUUCCGACUUAAAUAAACUUGUAAUCUUGUUGUAAUAAAUUUGUAAUCUUGCAAUUAUGAAUUUAUAUCUUGCAAUUCUGACUUCUCAUAAUUGCAACAUAAAAACUUGUAAUCUUGUAAUAAAUUCGUAAUCUCGCAAUUACAAAUUUAUAUCUCACAAUUCUGACAUUUUUCUCGCAGUGUUGCAUUUAAAUCUUGCAAUUGAGACUUUUUCUCACCAGUUUCGAGUCUAUUUCUCGCAAUUCUGACUUUCUUACAAUUGUGACUUUAUAUCUCGCAAUUCUGACUUUUUUCUUGCAGUGUCCAGUUUUGGAUAGUCCAGUUUAUAUCUUGCAGUUUGGACUUUAUAACUUGUAAUAGCAUGUUUAUAUCUCAGAAUUCUGAGAAAAAAAGUCAGAAUUGCAAGAUAUAAACUCACAGUUGCAAGAUAAAAAGUCAGAAUUGUGAGAUAAUUUAAUUUUUUUAUUCUGUGGAGCAAACAAGCUUCCAUGGUUUUCUUCUUCUCAUAUUCCAGAAUGUACAAAUUUAGACAAGAAUUAGCAAGAAAAAAAAACGCAUUCGUCUUUGACGUUUUGUGUGAAAUGUUUAGGUAAACCCAGACUCCAUGUCUCCAGUCAAAGCGUGUCAGACUAUGAGGGUGGGUACACUGACGUCAUCUGUCACGGGGCGUCACAGUGGUGUCAGAUCGGAGGCUCUUGUGUUGGGAGGAAUGGAACCUCAAAUAAAACUACGGUGCAUAUCAGUGGUGAUGAUGACGCUCUGAAUGUGACCUUGAGCGAACUGAAGAGAGAGGACAGUGGAUGGUACUACUGCCCUGAUGGGGAAUCACAGAUGCCGGUUCAGAUUAUCGUGAGGAAGGCCCCAUAUACAGGACGAGUCACUGUUCAAUAUACAGGUCACACCACAGCAUCCAGUCAAGACAAGU
Molecule: long non-coding RNA, 6024 nt
Organism: Ctenopharyngodon idella (grass carp)
Lineage: Eukaryota; Metazoa; Chordata; Actinopteri; Cypriniformes; Xenocyprididae
Exons: 3
Source: RefSeq, a predicted model, not a curated record